UUUUUGGUAAGCAGAACUGGCGAUGUGGGAUAGAACCAAACGUAAAGUUAAAGUGCCUAAAAGUACGUUCAUCAGACACCACAAAAGGUGUUGAUUCAUCUUGACAGUUGGACAGUGGCCAUGGAAGUCGGAAUCUGCUAAGGAGUGUGUAACAACUCACCAACCGAAUGAAUUAGCCCUAGAAAAUGGAUGGCGCUUAAACGUAUUACUUAUACUUUACCAUUAAAGUAAAUGCUAAACUUUAAUGAGUAGGAGGGCGUAUGGAUAAUUUAGAAGACUGAUAGUGAUAUUAGUUGGAAUUAUCUUUAGUGCAGAUCUUGGUGGUAGUAGCAAAUAUUCAAUAGAGAACAUUGAAGACUGAAGUGGAGAAAGGUUUCACAUGAACAACACUUGGAUGUGAGUUAGUCGAUCCUAAACGGUGGGUUAACUCCAAAUACAUAGAUACUUGUAUCUUGUACCGUGAAAGGGAAACAGGUUAAUAUUCCUGUACUAUAUCAAGGAGGUAAAAUGGC
This 512-nucleotide ribosomal RNA is filed under the name uncultured eukaryote. RNAcentral describes it as "eukaryotic LSU rRNA". It matches the Rfam family "Eukaryotic large subunit ribosomal RNA", at positions 1134 to 1645 of the family's 3401-position model. The record is from RNAcentral.